GGGGUGGUAGUGGGGUGGUGGUAGUGGGGUGGUAGUGGGGUGGUAGUGAGGUGGUAGUGGGGUGGUAGUGAGGUGGUAGUGAGGUGGUAGUGGGGUGGUAGUGGGGUGGUUGUGAGGUGGUAGUGAGGUGGUAGUGAGGUGGUAGUGGGGUGGUAGUGAGGUGGUGGUAGUGGGGUGGUAGUGAGGUGGUAGUGAGGUGGUGGUAGUGAGGUGGUAGUGGGGUUGUAGUGGGGUGGUGGUAGUGGGGUGGUAGUGAGGUGGUAGUGGGGUGGUAGUGGGGUGGUAGUCGGGUGGUAUUGUAUGUAAAAGGGUGAGUGAUCGUCCCCUGAUAUGGAGCUGAAAGAAACUCUGGAGUCUAAAAGCAGAGUCAGUCUGCUGCUGCUGUGAGUCAGAGAGACUGAGA
Long non-coding RNA from Oncorhynchus tshawytscha (Chinook salmon), 403 nucleotides. NCBI's taxonomy places the organism in Eukaryota, Metazoa, Chordata, Actinopteri, Salmoniformes, Salmonidae. The record is from Ensembl.